GGAAUAAAACUCACAUCGCAAAGAGAUAUUGGCAAUGAAUUUGCUUAAUACUAUGCAAACUGUACAACUUGAAAAACAGCAGCCACACACAUCAGCCCUUAGCAGACGAAAUCAAUGCAUAUCUCAAUAAGAUAAACGAUUCACACCUUUCCACUACUCAACAGGCAGAACUCAGAUGCCCAAUAACAGACCAAGAGGUCAAGAUAGCCAUCAAAACACUCCCAUCAUGCAAAUCACCGGGUCCUGACGGGCUUGAUAACGUUUACUACAAGAAAUUCUAGAAAACCUUAAGUAAAUGCCAUAAGUGCAGAGUGAUACUUUUGGGAAAAAAAGAUAAAGGUACAGAAUGG
Pelobates cultripes (western spadefoot toad) is the source of this 350-nucleotide non-coding RNA. Lineage: Eukaryota; Metazoa; Chordata; Amphibia; Anura; Pelobatidae. The record is from the annotation of a GenBank genome assembly.